This 1343-nucleotide ribosomal RNA is filed under the name uncultured bacterium. RNAcentral describes it as "16S ribosomal RNA". It matches the Rfam family "Bacterial small subunit ribosomal RNA", at positions 28 to 1378 of the family's 1533-position model. The record is from RNAcentral.
GACGAACGCUGGCGGCGUGCUUAACACAUGCAAGUCGAACGGAAAGGCCCUGCUUUUGUGGGGUGCUCGAGUGGCGAACGGGUGAGUAACACGUGAGUAACCUGCCCUUGACUUUGGGAUAACUUCAGGAAACUGGGGCUAAUACCGGAUAGGAGCUCCUGCUGCAUGGUGGGGGUUGGAAAGUUUCGGCGGUUGGGGAUGGACUCGCGGCUUAUCAGCUUGUUGGUGGGGUAGUGGCUUACCAAGGCUUUGACGGGUAGCCGGCCUGAGAGGGUGACCGGCCACAUUGGGACUGAGAUACGGCCCAGACUCCUACGGGAGGCAGCAGUGGGGAAUAUUGCACAAUGGGCGGAAGCCUGAUGCAGCAACGCCGCGUGCGGGAUGACGGCCUUCGGGUUGUAAACCGCUUUCGCCUGUGACGAAGCGUGAGUGACGGUAAUGGGUAAAGAAGCACCGGCUAACUACGUGCCAGCAGCCGCGGUGAUACGUAGGGUGCGAGCGUUGUCCGGAUUUAUUGGGCGUAAAGGGCUCGUAGGUGGUUGAUCGCGUCGGAAGUGUAAUCUUGGGGCUUAACCCUGAGCGUGCUUUCGAUACGGGUUGACUUGAGGAAGGUAGGGGAGAAUGGAAUUCCUGGUGGAGCGGUGGAAUGCGCAGAUAUCAGGAGGAACACCAGUGGCGAAGGCGGUUCUCUGGGCCUUUCCUGACGCUGAGGAGCGAAAGCGUGGGGAGCGAACAGGCUUAGAUACCCUGGUAGUCCACGCUGUAAACGGUGGGUACUAGGUGUGGGGUCCAUUCCACGGGUUCCGUGCCGUAGCUAACGCUUUAAGUACCCCGCCUGGGGAGUACGGCCGCAAGGCUAAAACUCAAAGGAAUUGACGGGGCCCCGCACAAGCGGCGGAGCAUGCGGAUUAAUUCGAUGCAACGCGUAGAACCUUACCUGGGUUUGACAAGGAUCGGGAGUGCUCAGAGAUGGGUGUGCCUCUUUUGGGGUCGGUUCACAGGUGGUGCAUGGCUGUCGUCAGCUCGUGUCGUGAGAUGUUGGGUUAAGUCCCGCAACGAGCGCAACCCUUGUUCACUGUUGCCAGCACGUUAUGGUGGGGACUCAGUGGAGACCGCCGGGGUCAACUCGGAGGAAGGUGGGGAUGACGUCAAGUCAUCAUGCCCCUUAUGUCCAGGGCUUCACGCAUGCUACAAUGGCUGGUACAGAGAGUGGCGAGCCUGUGAGGGUGAGCGAAUCUCGGAAAGCCGGUCUCAGUUCGGAUUGGGGUCUGCAACUCGACCUCAUGAAGUCGGAGUCGCUAGUAAUCGCAGAUCAGCAACGCUGCGGUGAAUACGUUCCCGGG